Molecule: ribosomal RNA, 464 nt
Filed under: uncultured bacterium
Lineage: Bacteria
Description: partial 16S ribosomal RNA
Rfam family: Bacterial small subunit ribosomal RNA
Source: RNAcentral
CUACGGGUUGCUGCAGUGGGGAAUAUUGCACAAUGGGCGCAAGCCUGAUGCAGCCAUGCCGCGUGUGUGAAGAAGGCCUUCGGGUUGUAAAGCACUUUCAGUUGUGAGGAAAGGAUAGUAGUUAAUACCUGCUAUCUGUGACGUUAACAACAGAAGAAGCACCGGCUAACUCCGUGCCAGCAGCCGCGGUGAUACGGAGGGUGCAAGCGUUAAUCGGAAUUACUGGGCGUAAAGCGCACGUAGGUGGAUAGAUAAGCUGGGUGUGAAAAACCGGGGCUCAACCCCGGCCGUGCAUUCAGAACUGUCUGUCUAGAGUAAGGGAGAGGGGGGUAGAAUUCCAGGUGUAGCGGUGAAAUGCGUAGAGAUCUGGAGGAAUACCGGUGGCGAAGGCGGCCCCCUGGCCCAUUACUGACACUGAGGUGCGAAAGCGUGGGUAGCGAACAGGAUUAGAUACCCCGGUAGUC